GGGCGCGGUGGGGAGACGGUGGCCGACACCCGGGCUCCGGGCGGCGCUUGCUGCCGUUUAGCGGCUUUAGCCUUUUGUUUCAGUGUCUGAGAAAAUGGGGCGAAAGAGAGCUUGGUGUGCGCGCGCGUGUAUGUGUGUGUGUGUGUGUGUAAAUCAGGAGGCGUUUGGCUUGGAGCCAUUUUUUUUCUUAAUUGUGGAGACAGAGAAUCCCUUAAAACGGUUUCCCCGGGGAGACCGUGCUCCUCCUCUUCCUCCCCGGCGUCUGGAUGGAGUGGAUUUCCCUCCCGGCCUCUGCCCACCUUCUCGUCCUCCACGCUGUCCCCCUCCCUCCUUCCCCUUCCUGCCGCCCCACCUCCGUGAACCCCCGAGCGAGCGGGGUGUCUGCAAAGCGGCCCGGUCACCUGUCGUGGCAGCUGCAUGGAAAUGCUGGCGCUUCUGCUGUCUGGUCUGUGCUGUUUCCUCUGGCAAAUCACAGGGAUUCCGCCCAGAAUACCAACCCUUCCUCUUUUCCCUGCGCUUCAAAACAAAGUGCAUGAUGCUGCUUCUGAAGUUUGACCCGCCUGGGCAAUUAGUGGAGAGAGGUGUCUACUUUUUCUGGUCCCACCACCUCAAGGUUGGAAAGGUGAGGGCCAUCUAGCUGAAAGGAGAUGAAGGUGACACAGUCCUGUCGGGGAUGAGUGUGGCUUACCUGCUAAAUCGCUACGGAGAUCAGAAAGUCUAGUAACACUUUCCUCCUAGUGGGCAGUCAGCUCCCUGUGCAGGGAGCUCUUCCCCCUGUACCCGGGGCUUUCCUCUUUGUAUUUUGCCGUAGUUCAGCACCUUAAGGGGUACCCAGUAGGCAGUUUCUUUAAAAAGCACAGUAAUUUAUUUCUAAGGUUUUGAAGAAUGUAGAAUUUCAUUUGGGGGUCCCUUUCUUUGUGCCUGUCUCCUUGUGUCUCAGACUUGGAUUUCUUGGAGUUUAGUUCUUGCAGGCAGGGCGCUGUGCUCCUGAGGGUGCUUAUCCCAGGCCGCUCAGCGCUGAUUGCCGGGCUAGGGGUCAAAUUGGAGCUGUAGCCGUCGGCCUAUGCCAGAGCCACAGCAAGGCGGGUUCCGAGCCACUUCUGCGACCUACACCACAGCUCAUGGCAAUGCCGGAUCCUUAACCCACUGAGCAAGGCCAGGGAUCGAACUCGCAACCUCACGGUUCCUAGUCGGAUUCGUUAACCACUGCGCCACGACGGGAACUCCUAAAAAAUUUAUUUUUUUAUAAUGAUUUUUAUUUUUUCCAUUAUAGCUGGUUUACAGUGUUCUGUCAGUUUUCUGCUGUACAGCAAGGUGACCCAGUUAUACAUACAUGGAUACGUGCCAUGUCAACCAUUUAAAGUGGACAGUUCAAUGGCAUGAAGUAUGUUCACAUUGUGGUGCUAUCAUCACCACCAUUCAUCUCCAGAACUUUUUCAUCUCCCUGAACCGAAACUUUGUAUCCAUUAAACACUAACUUCCCCUCCCCUUCUCCCCCACUUCCCGCUCCUGACAAUCACCCUUCUACUCUGAGGUUGACUGCUUAGGUCUCAUACCAGUGCAGUCAUACAGUAUUUGUCCUUUUGUGUCUUCCUUACUUCACUAAGCAUAAUGUUUUUAAGGUUCAUCCAUAUUCUAGCAUGUAUCAGAAUUUGUUUCCUUUUUAAGGCUGAAUAUGUACAUGUUAUAUUUUGUUUAUAAAUGUUCUAAGUUAAACACACUAAGUGUCAGCAGCCAAGGUAACCUCAUGAUGGUCCAGCACACUCACUGGAAAUUUAGAUUCCUUUGUUUAAUUAAAAUGGAAAAUCGAAUGAGUUAUUUAAUGCACAGUACCUAAAUAAAACGUGUUAUAGCCUUGCUGGAUCCUGUAAUUUCCCUUCCACAUGGUUAGUGAAAUAUAGUACAUCCUUCUGAAAUUUGCAGCUGGUACAGAUGAUGUUUUUGUUUCCCAGCUAAUGUUAUAAUGAUGGUAUGUUUUGCUGUAUGGAAGAGCAAUAAAGGGCUCACCCUGAGGUACAGAUUAUAUAGGAAUGUUUAUUUCUCCUUACCACUUUGCAACAUCAUGAGUUAGUUGUUUUGUUGUCUCCCUAGCAUCCGUCAGUGGUGGUGGAGGAGGGACCUUCCUUUUUUUUUUUUUUUUUUUGAGUAUCUUUAUGAACUUCUCUAUUUUAGCAUAUAUUAUGUGUUUUAGUCCAUUUCAGUUAUUGUCCUUUUGAUGCUCAAAUUGCCCUAUCUUUGGGCAUAUAGGCUUAUUCAGAUUCACUCUGAGUCCUUAGGACACACUAACCUCUUGUAGUUUCCUUGCUUUCUGGUAUAAUGAGAUGGUCAGGGCUCAUCCUGUAACCAUCCUAUUCCAGGUUUGGAAUCAGAACAGACCAUUUUUAUUUUAUUUAUUUUAUUUUUUUGUCUUUUUUUUUAAGGGCCAUUCCCACAGCAUAUGGAUUUUCCAAGGCUAGGGGUCUAAUCGGAGCUAUAGCUGCCAGCCUGUGCCACAGCCACAGCAGCGCAGGAUCUGAGCUGUGUCUGCAACCUACACCACAGCUCAUAGCAACACCAGGUUCUUAACCCACUGAUUGAGGCCAGGGAUUGAACCUGCAACCUCAUGGUUACUAGUCAGGUUCGUUCAUCACUGAACCAAGAUGGGAACUCCAGAACAGUCCCUUUUUAAAAGAAAAAAAAAAAAAAAA
This 2687-nucleotide long non-coding RNA is filed under the name Sus scrofa (pig). RNAcentral's name for it is "lncRNA (ENSSSCG00055019224.1)". The record is from RNAcentral. Lineage: Eukaryota; Metazoa; Chordata; Mammalia; Artiodactyla; Suidae.